CUGCCCCAAGGAGGAGGCACCCGACACACGCCAUGGUGCAGGGUGUACCAGAUCUGAGUGCAUCAGACAGUUGGGGAAGACUUGCUAGAGGAAGAGGUCCUGUGCGGAAUACGGAGACUGGAGCGUUGCGGGAGAAGGCAGGGGUGUGAUUUGAGUCUGUGAAGGGGACAUGAGCUGGAAAACAUCUGGGAAAACUGGAAUGUCUAUGAGAAAGGCAUGCCACCCCACACAGCUGCAGUGGAUACUGAGUGAGGAUCAGCUUCUCAUGGGCAAAGCUCCCUGUAUGGGAAGGAUAUCCCUGGAUGGGUAAUUCGCAAUAAAAUUUAUUUCUCAUCCAAGACCAAGAACCUUCAGUCAUCAGGGACUUCAUGGCAAAAGGCAGAAGGACAAGGGAACAUGUUUUAGUGAAAGAGAAAGCUGAACUCAAAUGGAAAACCCGCUCUCAAGAUAACCAGCCUACUCCCAUGAAUGUGGCGUUCAUCCAUUCCCAAAGGUCCCAAAAGUCCCAUCUUAGUAUUGUUAUAUAGGGUAGACCUUUCCAACAUACAAACUUUGGGGACACAGUCAGAUCAUAGCAUAUCCCCAACCCCAUCCUUAUCUGACUUCUUAUCUCUGGACAGUUAUAUUAGAAAUAAAUUGCCUUGU
This is a long non-coding RNA of Mesocricetus auratus (golden hamster), 645 nucleotides long. RefSeq lists it as uncharacterized. Lineage: Eukaryota; Metazoa; Chordata; Mammalia; Rodentia; Cricetidae. The record is from RefSeq and is a predicted model, not a curated record. The transcript is spliced from 3 exons.